UUGAAAGGGAAACGAUUGAAGUCAGUCGUGCAGUCAUCAACUCAGCGGGUAGCGUAGGUAAUUUAUUACUUUCGUUUUCCGUGUACUUUGUUGUCUGCUGGUUAGCAUCAAUUUUGAUUGUCAUAAAAAGGUUAAGGGGAUGUGGCUCCUUCGGGAGUGUUAUAACCCUUAGCAGAAUGUGGCGAUUGGGAUUGAGGAUUGCAACGAAUACCUUUAGGGCAGUUCCGUCUGGUCUCUUGUUGACGUUCAGAUGGCAACAGCUUGCUUUUGUUGUUUGAAUAGUUAGCAAAUAGAUUGGAAUGUGAAUAAUUCGUUAAGGAUGUUGACGUA
RNAcentral lists this ribosomal RNA (330 nucleotides) under Glomus sp. RNAcentral's name for it is "LSU rRNA". The record is from RNAcentral. Lineage: Eukaryota; Fungi; Glomeromycota; Glomeromycetes; Glomerales; Glomeraceae.